UCGGACCAGCAUAUAUCCAUUUCUGCCACACUAUCAGGGUCAGACACUUCUAAGGUAUUCAAAACAGCUUUAGAAGCAUCAACAAUAUUGUCAAGGCAAGGAAUCAUGAUCAGAAUCACAUCACAUGGUGGAGUCACUCAUCCAAUGGAGGUGCUCAAUGAAGGGCCAAUGGCAAUCGAGGCAUCUUUAUCAGAUAAGGAAGUUCCGAUUCAAUAUGGAAGGGUUUAAUGAAGGAAUCUCUGUUGCUGAACCAAAUGUUUGGAUGAACGUUGCAAGUGAAAAGAAUGACUAUUCUGGAAAAGAAGUGCCUGAAAGAUUAUGCAGGAAACAAGCAUUGCAAGUCGACAAUGACGGUGAGCAAAUGGAAGCACCUCGACCCGAGUAAAUGUGGCUAGCUUCCUUUCUACUGCAGAAAUAAAGUAAUGAUGAAAUGCAGAAAGAAGAUGAUAUGGAUUAUCGCCUCCAGCAGCUUUUCAGAGGUGUUUAUUCUCCCAGUAAAAAUAUGUGCAAAAUGGAGUAUAGGAUAACUGAAGCCAGCCAACAGUGUUUAUCUCCAUUUUUGGUUCAAAUCUCUCAUGUAAAAUUGCAAGCACCUUCUCUACAAUUCUUUUGUCUAUUAACUCAUCCCCCAUCAAUCACUUUCAUUAACCACCUUCAUAAAAUAUGUUAGAAUCUUUCUGUCUCAGUAUCUCUCAUACUUAGAACUUCAAAAUCUCCUAAGAUUUAGUCUGCAUAUGCCUGGUUUUGUCCCUUCCAAAAAAGCUCCUCCUUGAGCUCAUCCCAGGCCUCCUUAGCUGAUUCACAAGCCAUAAUUCUUGGACACAGCAGAAUGUAUGGAGGUUAAAGCCUUGAACCUUUUUGCACAUUGCUUACUAUGCAUUUUGAUUUGAGCAACAGAAGGAUUAUCAGGCAAAGGCGGAGGUGCCCUGCCUGUCUCAACAAAAUCCCAUUGAUCAAAAGCCUUGAGAUAAGCUUUCAUUUUCACUGCCCGCAUUUGGUAAUUUUGUCCUGAGAAAAUAGGAGGUGAAGGAGGUAUGAAGCAGCUGGAAGCCAUUGACUGUCAGUGUUUAAGGAUUUUGUAGCGAUGGUUUUUCUCCCUUGUUUUUCUUUCGCAGCCCCUUUAAAGACCAGAGAAGCUCUGAUACUAGUUGUUGACUUUAGAGCUCAAGAAACAUAGAAAAAUGGCUAUUGGGAGAGGCAACUUCCUUUCAUCCACAAAACUUUUUAUAUCAGAUCAUAAAAUCAGUAAACAUUGCUUUUCACCUACUAAAAGCAGUAAUUAUGUUUCAGGCAUCACUACUGGUGGAUGAGGUUCUGUUCCUGACUUCUUGUACUUGUAUGUUUGAUGAAUAAUUUAAGCAUGUCUCACAUCUGCAAGGCAAAAUGGUGAACAAAUAGAUGUCUGUUUUGAAAUUUCUAAUUGGUUAUUUUUGGAAUUCGUAACAAGAAUGAAACGGGAAACGUUAUAU
RNAcentral lists this unclassified non-coding RNA (1469 nucleotides) under Hevea brasiliensis (rubber tree). The record is from RNAcentral. Lineage: Eukaryota; Viridiplantae; Streptophyta; Magnoliopsida; Malpighiales; Euphorbiaceae.